UUGCACGCUGGCGGCAUGCCUUACACAUGCAAGUCGAACGGUAACGGGCCUUCGGGUGCCGACGAGUGGCGAACGGGUGAGUAAUACAUCGGAACGUGCCCGAUCGUGGGGGAUAACGAGGCGAAAGCUUUGCUAAUACCGCAUACGAUCUACGGAUGAAAGCAGGGGACCGCAAGGCCUUGCGCGGACGGAGCGGCCGAUGGCAGAUUAGGUAGUUGGUGGGAUAAAAGCUUACCAAGCCGACGAUCUGUAGCUGGUCUGAGAGGAUGAUCAGCCACACUGGGACUGAGACACGGCCCAGACUCCUACGGGAGGCAGCAGUGGGGAAUUUUGGACAAUGGGCGCAAGCCUGAUCCAGCCAUGCCGCGUGCAGGAGGAAGGCCUUCGGGUUGUAAACUGCUUUUGUACGGAACGAAAAGCCUUCUUUUAAUACAGGAGGGUCAUGACGGUACCGUAAGAAUAAGCACCGGCUAACUACGU
This 480-nucleotide ribosomal RNA is filed under the name uncultured bacterium. RNAcentral's name for it is "partial 16S ribosomal RNA". It matches the Rfam family "Bacterial small subunit ribosomal RNA", at positions 30 to 506 of the family's 1533-position model. The record is from RNAcentral.